This 200-nucleotide unclassified non-coding RNA is filed under the name uncultured Ascomycota. RNAcentral describes it as "sequence contains ITS2". The record is from RNAcentral. Lineage: Eukaryota; Fungi; Ascomycota.
UUAAGUUCAGCGGGUAUCCCUACCUGAUCCGAGGUCAACCCAGAAUAAAAAAUUGAGGUUGAGAGGCAGACAUAUAUCUGACAGAAGCGAUGAAGUUUCCUAGACGCUAGAAGCCAGGCAGUGUCGCCGUUGCAUUUGAGGUGUGUCUUCCGGAGAGGACAACACCCAAGACCAUGCCUACAAGUAGGCUUGAGUUUAGC